This 308-nucleotide long non-coding RNA is filed under the name Arachis ipaensis. RNAcentral's name for it is "long non-coding RNA (AIPA_LNC001411)". The record is from RNAcentral. Lineage: Eukaryota; Viridiplantae; Streptophyta; Magnoliopsida; Fabales; Fabaceae.
ACCAUUAAAAUAUCACUAAUGACUACUUAAUUAUUACAAAUCCAAAAAUCUGACCAGCACUCCUCAUUUAUUAACCCAAUUUCGAAUUAUGCAUAUAACCAUCUAUUAAUUCAUUACAAAAUCUUUUUUUGUUCGGACCAGGCCAGAUAAGGACCGGACCAUGGCACAACCCGCUUUGGAACCGACCCGACAUACCACAAUCGAAGGAAACCAUACACUCUGGACUAGGUAUUCGAUGUCGCUGCCUCUUCACCGCCGGUUGCUGUGGCUUGUCCCUGGCGUAGCAGACGCAGAUCCUUAAAUAGAAN